GAUGAAGAACGCAGCGAAAUGCGAUAAGUAAUGUGAAUUACAGAAUUCAGUGAAUCAUCGAAUCUUUGAACGCACAUUGCGCCCCUUGGUAUUCCGAGGGGCAUGCCUGUUCGAGCGUCAUUUCAACCCUCAAGCACAGCUUGGUCUUGGGCUUCGCCGCUAACCCGGCGGGUCUUAAAAUCAGUGGCGGUGCCGUCGGGCCCUGAGCGCAGUAAUCUCUCUCGCUAUAGGGUCCCGGCGGAUGCUGGCCAGUAACCCCCAAUUUUCUAUGGUUGACCUCGGAUCAGGUAGGGAUACCCGCUGAACUUAAGCAUAUCAAUAAGCGGAGGA
Molecule: unclassified non-coding RNA, 330 nt
Filed under: soil metagenome
Description: partial contains 5.8S ribosomal RNA, internal transcribed spacer 2, and large subunit ribosomal RNA
Rfam family: 5.8S ribosomal RNA (bases 1-120)
Source: RNAcentral